Non-coding RNA from Callithrix jacchus (white-tufted-ear marmoset), 137 nucleotides. NCBI's taxonomy places the organism in Eukaryota, Metazoa, Chordata, Mammalia, Primates, Cebidae. The record is from Ensembl.
AAGCAGAAUAGAAAUACAUACACAAGUAUAAUUGGUUUUCACUUUCUAAAGAACAAUCUAGCCUCCUAAAUGACAAGGUAGAUAGAACAGGUCUUGUUUGCAAAAUAAAUUCAAGACCUACUUACCUACUAACAGAA